GAUGAACGCUAGCGACAGGCCUAACACAUGCAAGUCGAGGGGCAGCACAUGAGUAGCAAUACGAUGGUGGCGACCGGCGCACGGGUGAGUAACACGUAUGCAACCUGCCUUCUACUAUGGGAUAACCCGUUGAAAAACGGACUAAUACCGUAUAAUACAGGGGCUCCGCAUGGAGAUAUUUGUUAAAGAUUAAUUGGUAGAAGAUGGGCAUGCGUAUGAUUAGAUAGUUGGUGAGGUAACGGCUCACCAAGUCAACGAUCAUUAGGGGUUCUGAGAGGAAGGUCCCCCACACUGGUACUGAGACACGGACCAGACUCCUACGGGAGGCAGCAGUGAGGAAUAUUGGUCAAUGGACGAGAGUCUGAACCAGCCAAGUCGCGUGAAGGAAGACGGUUCUAUGAAUUGUAAAACUUCUUUUGUACAGGAAUAAAGUGGAUUACGUGUAAUCUUUUGUAUGUACUGUACGAAUAAGGAUCGGCUAACUCCGUGCCAGC
Molecule: ribosomal RNA, 494 nt
Filed under: uncultured bacterium
Lineage: Bacteria
Description: bacterial SSU rRNA
Rfam family: Bacterial small subunit ribosomal RNA
Source: RNAcentral